Molecule: microRNA, 22 nt
Filed under: Medicago truncatula (barrel medic)
Lineage: Eukaryota; Viridiplantae; Streptophyta; Magnoliopsida; Fabales; Fabaceae
Description: mtr-miR5221
Source: miRBase by way of RNAcentral
AGGAGAGAUGGUGUUUUGACUU